AUCACUAAGCGGAGGAAAAGAAACUAACCAGGAUUCCCCCAGUAACGGCGAGUGAAGAGGGAAGAGCCCAGCACCGAAUCCCCUGCCUUGAGGGCAGAGGGAGCUGUGGUGUUAGGGAGAGCCUCUGGCGUGCGCGCGGCUAGGUCCGAGUCUCCUUGAUCGGGGCCUUGCCCACAGCGGGUGUCAGGCCUCUACGACCUGCCGCGCGUCGCCUCUGCGCCUCCCGGGAGUCGGGUUGUUUGAGAAUGCAGCCCAAAGCGGGUGGUAAACUCCAUCUAAGGCUAAACACUGGCACGAGACCGAUAGCAGACAAGUACCGUGAGGGAAAGUU
RNAcentral lists this ribosomal RNA (331 nucleotides) under Rhynchospio aff. asiatica VVP-2014. RNAcentral's name for it is "eukaryotic LSU rRNA". It matches the Rfam family "Eukaryotic large subunit ribosomal RNA", at positions 42 to 365 of the family's 3401-position model. Lineage: Eukaryota; Metazoa; Annelida; Polychaeta; Spionida; Spionidae. The record is from RNAcentral.